RNAcentral lists this signal recognition particle RNA (299 nucleotides) under Microtus ochrogaster (prairie vole). Its description in RNAcentral is "Metazoan signal recognition particle RNA (ENSMOCG00000003372.1)". It matches the Rfam family "Metazoan signal recognition particle RNA". From Rfam's summary of the family: The signal recognition particle (SRP) is a universally conserved ribonucleoprotein. Lineage: Eukaryota; Metazoa; Chordata; Mammalia; Rodentia; Cricetidae. The record is from RNAcentral.
GCCGGGCGCAGUGGCGCACGCCUGUAGUUCCAGCUACUCGGGAGGCUGAGACGGGAGGAUCGCUUGAGUCCAGGAGUUCUGGGCUGUAGUGCGCUAUGCCGAUCGGGUGUCCGCACUAAGUUCGGCAUCAAUAUGGUGACCUCUCGGGAGCAGGGGACCACCAGGUUGCCUAAGGGGGGGUGAACCGGCCCAGGUCGGAAACGGAGCAGGUCAAAACUCCCGUGCUGAUCAGUAGUGGGAUCGUGCCUGUGAAUAGCCACUGCACUCCAGCCUGGGCAACAUAGCGAGACCCCCUCUCU